Long non-coding RNA from Brienomyrus brachyistius, 4431 nucleotides. RefSeq lists it as uncharacterized. The transcript has 2 exons. The record is from RefSeq and is a predicted model, not a curated record. Lineage: Eukaryota; Metazoa; Chordata; Actinopteri; Osteoglossiformes; Mormyridae.
UGUGUAUACUGGAUUGCAGUUUAAACUGGAUUACUGUUUACACCAGAUUUCUUUUUACACUGGAUUACUGUUUAUACUGGAUUGCAGUUUAAACUGGAUUACUGUUUGCACCAGAUUACUGUUUACACCAUUUUCACAAAACUGGGGCAAAAUGGUGCUGAUGAAGACUUUGAGCACUUUUAUUGCACAGCACAACCAAGAAAGAGGAGAGUUUACUGUAAAAUAUCGUAAUCUCGCCUCUGAAGCCAGGUCUUGAAAACAAUAUUUUUAACGGCUACAAACCAUGUGUGACAUCCAUAGCUCAAACGGCAAGGCCUGACAGCUCCGCACUCUCAGCAUACAUCUUUCCCAUGAUGUUUCCUCCUGACAGGGUCUGCGGUUAUGCCGGGAUGCCCUGCCGGAGAUGGGGGCAGCCCAUCCCAGGCCUUCCCGCUGAGUGGGGAAAUGUCAUCCUUUGCGAAACUUCACAGGCACACGGGGAGACAAAACGUGAUCCGAAAGCUGGGCGGUUCAUAGACUCUGGGGACAGCAAAGAUGGCUCAGGUCUGCUCUCGUAUCAAAGCCAGGAUUAAAUCAGAGUACAAACUCCGGACGGUGUACAGGUUUCAGGGCUGGACACACCGCAAAGAUGCAACCUUGCUGCGAGUGAGAAUGCUUCACAUCCCCGCUGUGCGCUCUUUAGCCAGUGUGGGAAUUCAUUAGGCCGGCCCAGAUGUGCAGACCGUGAAUAAGUCAGGGACACCCAGAGAGAGAUGCCUCAGGAAGAUAUCACUGCUGGCAAUGAAUAAUUCUUGGCCUGCAAUGUUAAAAUCAGCCGAGUCUGUGUUUGUUUCACAUCGUUUAGACACAUGAGGUAUCGGGCACAAGGCCGCCAUAUUAUCCCGUGUUGAUGCUCAGCUUCAUGUGAGAUUUGUUCACAUUGGGGCUCGUCCUAGAAACUCAGCAUGGGGGGCCUGAAACAGGAGCUGCCAAGGUCCCUACACCCAAACAACACACAGGACCAUCACAGGGGAGACAGCAAGAAUCUCCAUUCAAGGUAUAAAGCAUCCAACUGGGAUGGAGGGCCGAGUAUGGCAUCGAACGGAGACGGGGAAAAAUGGAAGGGGCCAAUGCAACAGGUGAUCCAAGCAAAUCCUUGAUAAGCACCUUCCAAGGGCUGAUAGUACCUACUGCAUUUGUGACCUGCUAUAGAAAUAAACAAACGGAGUCACUCUCGAGUGUUCUGACAUCACUCUCAAACGAUUCUGAAUCAAAAAUGAACAAAACCGAACAGAAAAAACUGAGGCCUCUCUAACUAGGGAAGAAGCACAUUGACCAAAUAAAACAGUUAAAGAAACUCAGUAGAUGUAAACAACAGCCCUGGUCUUGCCAUGUUCAGGUAGAAAGCAAUAACAGUUUAAAAUGACCAAAAGUGCCUUGUUUAGCUAUUUAGAAAGGAUACCUUUACUUUAAUGUCUAAUGAAUAACAUUACAUUGCAAUUAUGGGCAACCUGAAGACGAAACAUGACGACCCUCAGCGGAAACAUGGGAAGAGAUAAACGGGAGUAUUAUUUAGUCACUGGGCCUCAUUCCCUGCAAUAAGCCAGGAUGAGCAGCUAAUGAGGUUCUUCACCAAGGGUUAGCUAGUGAAGCCUGAGUAUUAGUGACUCUUGUUGCCAGGGAAACUACCGCUGGUACCCUGAGAUAUUGCCUGGAACACUGAUGAAAAACAAUAAUAACCCUGGAGAUUCAUUAGAGACAGUAUCUAUGGAAACAGCCACAGUAAAAUCAUUGUUUUCUUUUUUUUUCCCCUCCGUUAUAUUGCAAUAAAAGUGGUCGUCAGAAGAUAGGGUAUGUUUUCAAGAAAUGUUAGAUGCAGAACUCAUGUUCGCCAGGUGCAACUUCAAGGUUAAGCACAGGAUUCUAAACAUAUCCAUAAAAGGAGAAGAUCGGUCUAGCCCAAUUAACACAGGAUCAAAUAAAGGCCAAAGGAUGUAAUGAAGAACUCGCUUACUGUUCUCAAAGAGAGUGUGUUCGAGAAAUCACCCAGCAGCACUGCAAAAAAAAACAUCGCCUUAACGAUUUAAGCAAAAGCUUAAUGAGGAAAAGUGUUUAAAAAAUAACAUUCACCACUUUUUAACGGUCCUCGUCAAUUUUGAGGCUGACGAAUCACAACAGGUUAAGCAUGUCGAUCGAACACAACUAACCAACAGCUGCCUGACUAAUAAUGUUUUGUGAGAGAACAAUUUUUGUCUUUUUACAAAAAUAACAUCCUUCUCUAAAUACACACCUCUAACAGACUCUUAGCUGCAUGACACGGAAACGUAAUACACAGAUCGCUUCCACCGAGCAGCACAGUAUACACAACUUACAGAACAUACACAACUUUCCUUAUAUGGUCGUUAGCAUUAGUCAAAAGAUAAGUACAAGUCACUGAGCCUCACCAGCGAGGAACAUUUUAAAUUAAGGGAGGGGAGGAACCAUUAGGGAAUCAAAAAAGUUACUGUGUGCACAAGGGUAAUGUUUGAGCUGGUGGGCACCAUUAAUCGCAGACUGCAGAUUCUGGCAGGGAGAACCUGUGCCAAUUGAGCAUUUCAGCAGAACCCUUCAGAACAUCAUUUUGAGAUUUACAUUGGAAUCCUAGCAUAUGCAUAAAGGGUACCUGGAAAAAAAGUUUUAGGAUCCAUAUUAAAAGGUUCCAUUUUAUGCAAGUACACAAUAAUUACAAUGCAUGCGCAUUGCAAAAAAGUUAAUGUGAAACUUGAAUGCUCAAAGGCAAUCUGUUGACAUUUAUUGUAAAACAGCAAGAAAAUGAAAUAUGUUCCCUGCAUAAACACUGCGAGGCCUUAAGUCUAUAUUUCUUUGAAGCGUCUUUGGCAGUCAUCAGAGCCGCGAAGCUUUUUGGUGAGGUCUUUACUAAAUCUGCGCACAGGCCUGAUGCAAUUUUACUCAUUUUUCUUGGCUGAUUUUCUCCUUCAGCCUAAAGCCGCUCUCCUGCUCCCCGAUUCAAAGUUCUGACUGGAAUCAUAUUUAGAAGCUGAGGACGGUUGUGAAAAAGUGACUGACAAGCAAUUUCUGAAAGGUUCUGUGUAAUCUAGAUUAUGGAAAUGAUCAUUUUCAUAAAGACUGUGUGCUUUUCUUCCUUGUUGUGGGGGUAGUUAUUAAUGUUUGUUAUUAAUACUGUAUAUAUUAAAACCGUUCAGGUAUGUUUGGAUACUGAAGUAUACUCACAUGCUGCUUAUGAAUGUUCUAUGAAUGAAUUAUGAUGGUGCAGUGAAUGCUCUACGAAUGCAUUGUAAAGGCAUUAUGAAAGUGCAGUUAAUGUAAAGGGUCACUUGAUAAUGAUAAUAAUAAUAACAAUGACAGCGGUAUGUCACAGUAUGUUUGCUUGCUCAUUACCUUUUACUCUGCCCCCUGAUCAUAAUGCUCCACAUGCCGCCCUACAGAGAGCCUUCGAAUUUGCCGUACUGAAUAAUCCCAUUGCACUGCCCCUACUAUUAAAGGGGAGGAGCGGCUACCAUUGUUGAAUCUCAACAUAAGCUCAUUUGAAUUAAAUUGCCUAUAAUAUUUCAGAUCCAGGCCUAUAUAUAUUAAGGAAAAGCAAUUUAUAUCUGCUACCUACCAUGAUCCAUGUUAUCAAAGAAAAUAAGGGUAGGUUGCCAUAUUAAAGGAGUUAUUUAGCUCAAGUGCUGUUUACAUAGGAAGAUGACAAAAGAAUGCGCGCGCGUGUGUGUGUGUGUGUGUGUGUGUGUGUGUGUGUGUGUGUGUGUGUGUGUGUGUGUGUGUGCGCACAUAUGUAUUACGAGUGUAACGGUACACGUAUCCGUAUCGAAAAUUUUCGGUAAGGAUCUUUCAGUUCGGUACGCAUAUAUAUAUUGAACGAAUGCAGCAAAUGUGGAACCUUUGCGUGUUUGUGUGUUUCCCCCGAGCGACAUUCGGAAAGGGGCGGAUGAAGCCGCGCCAUAUGUACCAUAUAAUGUGAAGCGGGACGUCGUUCAUGGGAAUACAAGUACAGCACAGUAUGGGAUACAACACAGAAAUGCAAAGACAGAUGGGGCACGUAUUCACAUCCCUGAUCAAAACCCGGUGAGCGUCUCUGAACGAAGGACCCCAACUGCAAUAACUGCAGAACAAGGGAGACACUCUGGAAAAUGUAGGUAAAGGAGAACCUGGAGAUAUGAAGACGGCGGCAUCGGGGGUCACUGCAAGCUGCCCAACACCGUAACGCACACAAACACCAUCUUUCACUAACGUGUGGCGGGUCAAGCACCAUUCCUGCGUGUCACGCUGCCUAAGAAGCAAGUGAGGCUCACGCUCUCAGACCACAAGGCUGUAGCAUGGAGGGGCUUCAUAGCAAGCUAGAUGGUUUGUUCUGGCAAGAUCCGAAUGAAAAGACGUUAAGCGUGCCAAUGUUUCAAUUAGGAGUUUUCAAUAAAUAUGCCUGAAGUUUAA